UACGUAGGGUGCGAACGUUAAUCGGAAUUACUGGGCGUAAAGCGUGCGCAGGCGGUUCGUUAAGUCAGAUGUGAAAGCCCCGGGCUCAACCUGGGAACUGCAUUUGAAACUGGCGGGCUUGAGUGUGGCAGAGGGGGGUGGAAUUCCGCGUGUAGCAGUGAAAUGCGUAGAGAUGCGGAGGAACACCGAUGGCGAAGGCAGCCCCCUGGGCCAACACUGACGCUCAGGCACGAAAGCGCGGGGAGCAAACAGG
This 253-nucleotide ribosomal RNA is filed under the name uncultured bacterium. RNAcentral's name for it is "partial 16S ribosomal RNA". It matches the Rfam family "Bacterial small subunit ribosomal RNA", at positions 524 to 776 of the family's 1533-position model. The record is from RNAcentral.